Molecule: unclassified non-coding RNA, 343 nt
Filed under: soil metagenome
Description: partial contains 5.8S ribosomal RNA, internal transcribed spacer 2, and large subunit ribosomal RNA
Rfam family: 5.8S ribosomal RNA (bases 1-120)
Source: RNAcentral
GAUGAAGAACGUAGCGAAAUGCGAUAAGUAAUGUGAAUUGCAGAAUUCAGUGAAUCAUCGAAUCUUUGAACGCACAUUGCGCCCGCCAGCAUUCUGGCGGGCAUGCCUGUUCGAGCGUCAUUUCAACCCUCGAGCCCCCCCGGGGGCCUCGGUGUUGGGGGACGGCACACCAGCCGCCCCCGAAAUGCAGUGGCGACCCCGCCGCAGCCUCCCCUGCGUAGUAGCACACACCUCGCAUCGGAGCGCGGAGGCGGUCACGCCGUAAAACGCCCAACUUUCUUAGAGUUGACCUCGGAUCAGGUAGGAAUACCCGCUGAACUUAAGCAUAUCAAUAAGCGGAGGA